CUUUAGUUUCCAUUAAUAAGUGACGAUGUUGUGUCUAUUUUUAUCGAUAAAUAAAAACUCCGUCGUUGUAUGGGACUUAUGUAAAUAAAACCAUUAGUUUGGGUACUUGGCAUACGGGUGUAAGCCUCAGACGCGAUAGUCUCAGCUGGUCGCUGAGAGUCCAAGAGGUUUGAGGUGUGGGGGAGCCUGGAAUGGGGCUGGAGAGGAGCCCGACAUGUUGUUGUUCAGGUCACCAGCUCGGCUUGAACCGUUUAUCAACCCGCCCAUUGCACUACUCGUCUGUUGUAAAAUAUGCUCAUUAGUAUAAUGCUUAUUAUAAAACGUGUAUCAAGUGUCUCCUGUCACCCGACCACCUCAAGGAGGACAAUGCGGUCCCACAAACGCCAACAUUGACAAUUCACUGGAAUUGGAGAAUUAGUUUAUGAAUUGUUUGGCUUUAUGCUUAUUUACAAUAAUAGAGGGAUACUAGUUAGAGUAAUCUAUGAAUCGAAAAGUGCAUUUACUUUGCAGACGUAAUUGUAAAUGUUUCAUAUUUGAGUUUUCCCGUUUUCACACGAAUGAUAUA
Molecule: long non-coding RNA, 565 nt
Organism: Pieris rapae (cabbage white)
Lineage: Eukaryota; Metazoa; Arthropoda; Insecta; Lepidoptera; Pieridae
Exons: 3
Source: RefSeq, a predicted model, not a curated record